This 55-nucleotide transfer RNA is filed under the name Nitrosopumilus sp. CG10_big_fil_rev_8_21_14_0_10_33_7. RNAcentral's name for it is "tRNA-Pro". The record is from RNAcentral. Lineage: Archaea; Thermoproteati; Nitrososphaerota; Nitrososphaeria; Nitrosopumilales; Nitrosopumilaceae.
GGGGAUGUAGGUUAGCUUGGUAUACUGCCAGCCUCGGGUGCUGGAGAUCAUGGGU